UACAUCGGUGACAGGUGGUGGCAUGGUUGUCGUCAGCUCGUGUCGUGAGAUGUUGGGUUAAGUCCCGCAACGAGCGCAACCCCUAUUGUUAGUUGCCAUCAUUCAGUUGGGCACUCUAGCGAGACUGCCGGUAAUAAACCGGAGGAAGGUGGGGAUGACGUCAAAUCAUCAUGCCCCUUAUGACCUGGGCUACACACGUGCUACAAUGGUUGGUACAACGAGUUGCGAGUCGGUGACGGCGAGCUAAUCUCUUAAAGCCAAUCUCAGUUCGGAUUGUAGGCUGCAACUCGCCUACAUGAAGUCGGAAUCGCUAGUAAUCGCGGAUCAGCACGCCGCGGUGAAUACGUUCCCGGGCCUU
RNAcentral lists this ribosomal RNA (358 nucleotides) under uncultured Streptococcus sp. Its description in RNAcentral is "bacterial SSU rRNA". It matches the Rfam family "Bacterial small subunit ribosomal RNA", at positions 1024 to 1382 of the family's 1533-position model. The record is from RNAcentral. Lineage: Bacteria; Bacillati; Bacillota; Bacilli; Lactobacillales; Streptococcaceae.